AUUGAACGCUGGCGGCAGGCCUAACACAUGCAAGUCGAACGAGUGGCGGACGGGUGAGUAAUGUCUGGGAAACUGCCUGAUGGAGGGGGAUAACUACUGGAAACGGUAGCUAAUACCGCCUACCAUCGGAUGUGCCCAGAUGGGAUUAGCUAGUAGGUGGGGUAAAGGCUCACCUAGGCGACGAUCCCUAGCUGGUCUGAGAGGAGGACCAGCAAAACUGGAAAGUAGACACGGUCCAGACUCAUACGGGAGGCAGAAGUGGGGGAUAUGGCACAAUGGGCGCAAGCCUGAUGCAGCCAUGGCGCGUGUAUGAAGAAGGCCUUAGGGUUGUAAAGUACUUUCAGCGGGGAGGCGUUACACGCAGAAGAAGCACAGGCUAAAUCCGUGCCAGCAGCCGCGGUAAUAC
Molecule: ribosomal RNA, 406 nt
Filed under: uncultured bacterium
Lineage: Bacteria
Description: partial 16S ribosomal RNA
Rfam family: Bacterial small subunit ribosomal RNA
Source: RNAcentral